CGUAGGUGAACCUGCGGAAGGAUCAUUAU
RNAcentral lists this non-coding RNA (29 nucleotides) under Sus scrofa (pig). The record is from RNAcentral. RNAcentral also lists the same sequence under 4 other names. Lineage: Eukaryota; Metazoa; Chordata; Mammalia; Artiodactyla; Suidae.